This 362-nucleotide ribosomal RNA is filed under the name Clavispora lusitaniae. Its description in RNAcentral is "LSU rRNA". It matches the Rfam family "Eukaryotic large subunit ribosomal RNA", at positions 133 to 501 of the family's 3401-position model. Lineage: Eukaryota; Fungi; Ascomycota; Pichiomycetes; Serinales; Metschnikowiaceae. The record is from RNAcentral.
CCUGCGGGAAUUGUAAUUUGAAGGUUUCGUGGUCUGAGUCGGCCGCGCCCAAGUCCAUUGGAACAUGGCGCCUGGGAGGGUGAGAGCCCCGUCCGGCGCACGCCGACUCUUUGCACCGCGGCUCCGACGAGUCGAGUUGUUUGGGAAUGCAGCUCUAAGUGGGUGGUAAAUUCCAUCUAAAGCUAAAUAUUGGCGAGAGACCGAUAGCGAACAAGUACAGUGAUGGAAAGAUGAAAAGCACUUUGAAAAGAGAGUGAAACAGCACGUGAAAUUGUUGAAAGGGAAGGGCUUGCAAGCAGACACGGUUUACCGGGCCAGCGUCGAAAAGGGGGGAGGAACAAGAACUCGAGAAUGUGGCGCGC